CAAAAUUUCACCUCUUGUCGUUGGAAAAAGAGGAAGACUUGGAAAAGGUAACGGUAAAAGUCUCGAGCAAAAGCACACCUUAAUUGCUUCACCUUAUUUCUGUUGUUAGAUCUUCUAUCCUUGGAGAGGUGUAGUCGUCGUCAACAUUAGAGUUGCAUUAUUGAAAGAAUGGUAGGAAGAGGUAAACAUUGCCAUGGAUUGAUCUCCGAUGAUGAUGACCAUGACAUGAGGUUAUUGCUUAACUUUAAUCUCAUUUGGUCAUCAGCAUCGAAAAAGCGAUGGAGGUAAUAGAUGGCUUAGUUGCUGAAACAGGGUUUGAUGCUUCAAAAUCUAAGAAAUCUUCAAAAAAAUCUGCUUUUAAAAAUAAUAGGAGUUCAGCACUGAUAAAAGGAAAAGAACCUGUCAGGAAGACUCAAAGCACUACAAUUGCUGCAACAUUGAGCAAUUUGUUCAAUGUUCCUUCUGAUAAUGACGAUGUUGUUAUUAUACCUGUAAAGGACGAACAAUUGAAAGCGCAGAUGAUGAAAAAAGUGGAAGAGCUGAAAACGGUGAUGUCAAGAAAAAGAGGUUUGUAAAGAACAAAUGUUUGGUAAGGAGGAGGGUAUUUCAUGAAGGGAAAGAUAAAGAUGUUGGGGUAUCAAGGGUGAGAAAAGCUUCAAAGAAGGAAGGAAAGCGGCCAAUUAUUAAGAAAGGAAAGACAUCGGAUGAAAUUACGGAAGAGAUAUCAAAUGGGGCCAAGAAAUUCACUUGGAGGACUCGUAUAAACAACUGCUCAAGGACUGCAAAAAAUGUUAUGCAUUUUCCAAGGUAUAUAGCUAAGAGAUGCCUUAGAGCAUAUCAAGAUGAAAUCAAAGUCGUUGAUGUGGAGACCAAAAAGGUGUUUACAUGUAGCGUCCAUAAGGCGAUCAGAAAAAAAUACCAAAGACCUGCGAAAGGUACAUGGCAAUAGGGUGGUAUGAAUUUGCUCAGAGUAAAAGACUCCGUAAGGGUGAUACAUUGGUUUGGAGCAUGUUGCGUUUUUCUCCAUAUGUCAAUGCGAAGGUGGAAAGGCGUUGAAGAAAUUUUUAUCAGUUUUUGUUAUGUUAUAGUAUGACUUUAUUAUGAUGAUUUACUUUGAUGAAAAAGUUUAAUGUUGUUUAUGAAAUUUUGGAUGCUUUCAGUUAGUAGAAAAAUGUUUGAAGCUUUGAAAUUAUAAUGAAUUUGAAGCUUGUCUGUA
This is a long non-coding RNA of Vicia villosa (hairy vetch), 1216 nucleotides long. RefSeq lists it as uncharacterized. Lineage: Eukaryota; Viridiplantae; Streptophyta; Magnoliopsida; Fabales; Fabaceae. The record is from RefSeq and is a predicted model, not a curated record. The transcript is spliced from 4 exons.